Molecule: transfer RNA, 76 nt
Filed under: Acholeplasmataceae bacterium
Lineage: Bacteria; Bacillati; Mycoplasmatota; Mollicutes; Acholeplasmatales; Acholeplasmataceae
Description: tRNA-Thr
Rfam family: tRNA
About the family: Transfer RNA (tRNA) molecules are approximately 80 nucleotides in length. Their secondary structure includes four short double-helical elements and three loops (D, anti-codon, and T loops).
Source: RNAcentral
GCCGACGUAGCUCCAAUGGUAGAGCAAUCCACUCGUAAUGGAUAGGUUGCAAGUUCGAUUCUUGUCGUCGGCACCA